UUCGACUGAGGCCAAAAUCACGAGGUCGUUACCACAAAUUUUACAACGACACGAGACUAAUUAAGGCGAUGGAGGCAGUUGCCCAGGGUAUGUCCCUCAGAAGUGCUGAGACAGCCUUCAACAUCCCCAGGACAACCCUCCAGAGAUACAUCAAGCGAGGACUGCCCCACAAAUUUUUCACCCCUCAACCGUUUUGACUCGAGUGUCGGUGGCUUCGUCGGGCGGCCGAGGGUCACGUACACCUGCAGGAAUUGUGGGAAGAUCUACAACUACUACUCGAGCUUGGCGAGACACCUGAAGCACGAGUGUGGGGUGGAGCCGAAAUUCCAGUGUCCGUUGUGUCCGUAUCGGACGAAACAUAAGUCGAGUUUGAAUACACAUUUGAAUGGGAGACACAUGAGAACGAUAAAUGAUUUUUGUGUUGUGUCUAAUGGUCAGAGGAAGGAUCAUAAAUCAUGGGAGUGAAGGCUGCCAACAUGAUCCGGUCAGCCGGUGGCCGGCAUUUAGAUGUUCACGAUGCGGCAGAUCUUACAAAAUCCAGACGUCACUGCGCCGUCAUUUGAUGAUCGAGUGUGGAAAACCACCGCAGCACAAAUGCCCUUAUUGUCCCCAUUACAGCAAGUACAGAUCAAGCAUAACAAAGCACAUAUUACACAUUCACGGUGGGCCCCCACGUCCCUAAGGCCCCACUCACUGUACGAAGAUCUGAAUAAAUUUUCCGUCAGUGAAUAGUUAAAAACUAUGAAACUAGGUUUCGUUCAUCCCACGUUUCUGAGGCGCUCGGGGACUCACAGGAGGAUGAGGGGACAGGGGAGGCAUUACUGCCAGAGCUGCGGUCGUCGUUAUCACGCGGAGAAGAAUCUGAGGAGACACGUGGAGAAGGAAUGCGGAAAAGAACCGACAUUUCAAUGCUCCUAUUGUCCUUAUCGAUCGACGUACAAGUCCUACCUCGAGGUCCACAUGUCGAAGCACAAACGACAGGGCUUCAAUCCAAGACCGAGUUGCAUAAAUCCGUACGAUUUUGCCCCGUGAAAAUGUCACCCAGAAGAGAAUAGAUAAUAAAUACCUUCGAGUUCUAGUCUCUAAUGAUUCGCUGUGUGAUUUUUUGGUUGAAUUUGCAAUAUUUUCGGACGAAUUAAACUAUUCACAAUUAAUGAAUAUACAUUUGUGUGACUACGACCCGACCCUCGUUCCUCAUAAACCAUUAAUCACCCUCUGGCACCUAAUUAGCAAGUAAAAUAACCCGUAAGUCGCCCUAAAUCAUCAUCUGACGUGCCCUUUG
This is a long non-coding RNA of Diachasmimorpha longicaudata, 1282 nucleotides long. RefSeq lists it as uncharacterized. The transcript has 4 exons. The record is from RefSeq and is a predicted model, not a curated record. NCBI's taxonomy places the organism in Eukaryota, Metazoa, Arthropoda, Insecta, Hymenoptera, Braconidae.